RNAcentral lists this ribosomal RNA (433 nucleotides) under uncultured bacterium. Its description in RNAcentral is "partial 16S ribosomal RNA". It matches the Rfam family "Bacterial small subunit ribosomal RNA", at positions 29 to 507 of the family's 1533-position model. The record is from RNAcentral.
AACGAACGCUGGCGGCAUGCCUAACACAUGCAAGUCGAACGAGACCUUCGGGUCUAGUGGCGCACGGGUGCGUAACGCGUGGGAACCUGCCUUUAGGUUCGGAAUAACUCAGAGAAAUUUGAGCUAAUACCGGAUGAUGUCUUCGGACCAAAGAUUUAUCGCCUUUAGAUGGGCCCGCGUUGGAUUAGCUAGUUGGGGGGGAAAAGGCCUACCAAGGCGACGAUCCAUAGCUGGUCUGAGAGGAUGAUCAGCCACACUGGGACUGAGACACGGCCCAGACUCCUACGGGAGGCAGGAGUGGGGAAUGUUGGAAAAUGGGCGAAAGCCUGAUCCAGCUAUGCCGGGUGAGUGAUGAAGGCCUUAGGGUUGUAAAGCUCUUUUACCCGAGAUGAUAAUGACAGUAUCGGGAGAAUAAGCGCCGGCUAACUCCGUG